This 73-nucleotide transfer RNA is filed under the name Ovis aries (sheep). It matches the Rfam family "tRNA". From Rfam's summary of the family: Transfer RNA (tRNA) molecules are approximately 80 nucleotides in length. Their secondary structure includes four short double-helical elements and three loops (D, anti-codon, and T loops). Further hydrogen bonds mediate the characteristic L-shaped molecular structure. tRNAs have two regions of fundamental functional importance: the anti-codon, which is responsible for specific mRNA codon recognition, and the 3' end, to which the tRNAs corresponding amino acid is attached (by aminoacyl-tRNA synthetases). tRNAs cope with the degeneracy of the genetic code in two manners: having more than one tRNA (with a specific anti-codon) for a particular amino acid; and 'wobble' base-pairing, i.e. permitting non-standard base-pairing at the 3rd anti-codon position. Lineage: Eukaryota; Metazoa; Chordata; Mammalia; Artiodactyla; Bovidae. The record is from Rfam by way of RNAcentral.
UCCCUGGUGGCCCAGUGGUUAAGGUUCCUGGCUCCCAAUGCAGAGAGCCUGGGUUCGAUCCCUGACCAGGGAA